CCUACGGGUGGCAGCAGUGGGGAAUAUUGCACAAUGGGCGAAAGCCUGACGCAGCAACGCCGCGUGGGGGAAGAAGGCUUUCGGGUUGUAAAAUUCUUUUCUCAGGGACGAAACAAGUGACGAUACCUGAGGAAUAAGCCGCGGCUAACUACGUGCCAGCAGCCGCGGGAAUACGUAGGUGGCAAGCGUUAUCCGGAUUUACGGGGUGUAAAGGACGUGUAGGCGGGACUGUAAGUCAGAUGUGAAAACCACGGGCUCAACCUGUGGCCUGCAUUUGAAACUGUAGUACUUGAGUACUGGAGAGGAAGACGGAAUUCCUAGUGUAGCGGUGAAAUGCGUAGAUAUUAGGAGGAACACCAGUGGCGAAGGCGGGUUGCUGGACAGUAACUGACGCUGAGGCGCGAAAGCGUGGGGAGCAAACAGGAUUAGAUACCCGGGUAGUC
Molecule: ribosomal RNA, 443 nt
Filed under: uncultured bacterium
Lineage: Bacteria
Description: partial 16S ribosomal RNA
Rfam family: Bacterial small subunit ribosomal RNA
Source: RNAcentral